CGGGGAUUAGCGUCGGGGGCUCUAUUCUCACCAUCCCCACAAGCGCCUUUCAACUCGACUCACUUGGUAACGGAGGCGUCAUAAUAGAUUCUGGCACCUCUGUCACUCGUCUACAAAAUGCCGCAUAUGCUUCCCUUCGUGAAGCCUUCCGCGCUGGCACUUCGGAUUUGGUCUUAACAACUGAAUUUUCCCUCUUCGACACAUGCUACAAUCUCUCUGACUUAAGCUCCGUCGACGUUCCAACCGUCACCCUGCAUUUUCAGGGAGGUGCUGACCUAAAACUCCCUGCUUCAAACUAUCUCGUUCC
Molecule: long non-coding RNA, 307 nt
Filed under: Physcomitrium patens
Lineage: Eukaryota; Viridiplantae; Streptophyta; Bryopsida; Funariales; Funariaceae
Description: long non-coding RNA (PPAT_LNC008660)
Source: RNAcentral